This 492-nucleotide ribosomal RNA is filed under the name uncultured bacterium. RNAcentral describes it as "partial 16S ribosomal RNA". It matches the Rfam family "Bacterial small subunit ribosomal RNA", at positions 29 to 507 of the family's 1533-position model. The record is from RNAcentral.
AGUGAACGCUGGCGGUAGGCCUAACACAUGCCAGUCGAACGGCAGCACAGUAAUAGCUUGCUCUUACGGGUGGCGAGUGGCGGACGGGUGAGGAAUACCUCGGAAGCUGCUUUUUCGUGGGGGAUAACGUAGGGAAACUUACGCUAAUACCGCAUACGACCUACGGGUGAAAGCAUCGGAUCUUCGGACCUUGCGCGAUUGAAUGAGCCGAUGUCGGAUUAGCUAGUUGGCGGGGUAAAGGCCCACCAAGGCGACGAUCCGUAGCUGGUCUGAGAGGAUGAUCAGCCACACUGGAACUGAGACACGGUCCAGACUCCUACGGGAGGCAGCAGUGGGGAAUAUUGGACAAUGGGCGCAAGCCUGAUCCAGCCAUACCGCGUGGGUGAAGAAGGCCUUCGGAUUGUAAAGCCCUUUUGUUGGGAAAGAAAAGCAGUAGGUUAAUACCCCGCUGUUCUGACGGUACCCAAAGAAUAAGCACCGGCUAACUUCGUG